RNAcentral lists this ribosomal RNA (755 nucleotides) under uncultured bacterium. RNAcentral describes it as "bacterial SSU rRNA". It matches the Rfam family "Bacterial small subunit ribosomal RNA", at positions 8 to 753 of the family's 1533-position model. The record is from RNAcentral.
AGAGUUUUGAUCAUGGCUCAGAUUGAACGCUGGCGGCAGGCUUAACACAUGCAAGUCGAGCGGUAACAGGGGUAGCUUGCUACCCGCUGACGAGCGGCGGACGGGUGAGUAAUGCUUAGGAAUCUGCCCAGUAGUGGGGGAUAGCCCGGGGAAACCCGGAUUAAUACCGCAUACGUCCUACGGGAGAAAGCAGGGGAUCUUCGGACCUUGCGCUAUUGGAUGAGCCUAAGUCGGAUUAGCUAGUUGGUGGGGUAAAGGCCUACCAAGGCGACGAUCCGUAGCUGGUCUGAGAGGAUGAUCAGCCACAUCGGGACUGAGACACGGCCCGAACUCCUACGGGAGGCAGCAGUGGGGAAUAUUGGACAAUGGGGGCAACCCUGAUCCAGCCAUGCCGCGUGUGUGAAGAAGGCUUUCGGGUUGUAAAGCACUUUCAGUAGGGAGGAAAACCUUAUGGCUAAUACCCAUGAGGCUUGACGUUACCUACAGAAGAAGCACCGGCUAACUCCGUGCCAGCAGCCGCGGUAAUACGGAGGGUGCAAGCGUUAAUCGGAAUUACUGGGCGUAAAGCGCGCGUAGGUGGUUUGGUAAGCGAGAUGUGAAAGCCCCGGGCUUAACCUGGGAACGGCAUUUCGAACUGUCAGACUAGAGUGUGGUAGAGGGUAGUGGAAUUUCCUGUGUAGCGGUGAAAUGCGUAGAUAUAGGAAGGAACACCAGUGGCGAAGGCGGCUACCUGGACCAACACUGACACUGAGGUG